UAUCUUAUUGUCUGGGGCUCAGA
This 23-nucleotide microRNA is filed under the name Blattella germanica (German cockroach). RNAcentral describes it as "Bge-Novel-9-P1_5p (mature (guide))". Lineage: Eukaryota; Metazoa; Arthropoda; Insecta; Blattodea; Blattellidae. The record is from RNAcentral.